UACGAAGGGGGCUAGCGUUGUUCGGAAUCACUGGGCGUAAAGCGCACGUAGGCGGAUCUUUAAGUCAGGGGUGAAAUCCCGAGGCUCAACCUCGGAACUGCCUUUGAUACUGGGGAUCUCGAGUCCGGGAGAGGUGAGUGGAACUGCGAGUGUAGAGGUGAAAUUCGUAGAUAUUCGCAAGAACACCAGUGGCGAAGGCGGCGCACUGGCCCGGUACUGACGCUGAGGUGCGAAAGCGUGGGGAGCAAACAGG
RNAcentral lists this ribosomal RNA (253 nucleotides) under uncultured bacterium. RNAcentral describes it as "partial 16S ribosomal RNA". It matches the Rfam family "Bacterial small subunit ribosomal RNA", at positions 524 to 776 of the family's 1533-position model. The record is from RNAcentral.